GGGGGCAUUUGCAGAAAGGGCAGUAGGAGAGCAGUUUGGAGGGAGGUAAGGCAGGAAGCACUCAGUCCUGGGCUCAGGGACUGUGACGUGCUGCUGGAACCUGCCUGGGGAGCUCAGGAAUGAGGGGAGAUGGCAAAUAAAGACCUGGCAUGAGGCUGGGGGCAGGGACAGAAAUCACCCUGGUGUCCGAGGAAGGAAAGUGGAACGCUAAAGAGGUGAGACGACCAGGGAAAGUGAAACAAGAGAGAAAGAAGGGAUGUAGAAUUGGAUUAUUGGGGUGGAAAGAGGAAGCCAGGUGGGGGAAGAGUCAGAGGAGGCUCAGGCAGAGGGCAGGAGGGGAAUUGGGAGAGGACAGCGAGCCUUCGAAAAAAUCCGGAGCUGGCACCUUCAACAGAAGCCAUGGAGCAACCCAAGAGGAGCCUGGGAGACAGCAACUUGGUGGCUGCUGAAAGACAGUUUCAGCUAAGGGGCAGGAGUGAGAGCCAGCCAGCACUGCAGAAGGUGGGGGGAAAGGCAAGCAGCCUAGAUGGUUCCUUCAAGAGGUUUGUCGAUAAAAGGAGCAGUCAAUAGGACCCAGGACACUGGCUGGGGACCUGGAGUGUUUGCAACGACGCAAGAUGAGAAGCUGGGUCACUGAAACAUUAACUCACAGACCAGGGUGGGUUGCAGCUGAUCCAACAGGCUGGACAGCCGCAUCAAUGCUUCCUAGAAGAGGAGAUGGGAGGAGAGAGUGAGCCCAGGAGCCUCUGCGUGGAGACCAAGGGGCCGAGGAGCACAGAAAGCCCCAGGGCUACGCAUCUUGGGUCAAAAGUCGCUGAAAAGAUAUUGAUAUCUACUUUUCUUUCUUUUUUUUUUUUUUCACUGUCUUUUUCUGGUUUUAGUAUCAGGGUAAUAUUAGCUUCAUAAAAUGUGGUGGUAAGUGUUCCUUCCCCUCCUAUUUUCUGGGAGAGAUUAUGUAAAAUUAUUGGUCACUAUAGAGAUUAUGACAUACAUACACAACUUACCACAAGCUACUGGUGUUGACACUGCCACUUUGAGUAAGUGUAGAAACCUUACUUCCAUUUAGUUCUCUUUAGCUUCCCCACUUAAAAAUAUAUGUGUCUUGAGUGUGUUCUUUACAUAUAUUGAACAUCACAUAAGAUGCUGUUACAAUUUUUGCUUCAAUCAUCAAAUAUGAUUUCAGAUACUCAUGAGAAGUAUAGUCUGUUGUAUUUAUUUCUAUUUAUGUACUUCCCAUAGUUUGUUUUUCUUUUCUGGAGCUCCAAGCAUUCUUGAAACCAAUGAGAAAAGUGGAAAAAUCUCAGUCCAGAAAUAGAAGGUAUAAUUUUUAAAUAAAAGCUUCUGUUCAGAUAACAUUCUUUACCCAAUCUUUAAAGAUACAUUUGCCAACAAUAAAUGCUCUUAGUUUUUCUUCAUCCAAGAAUGUUUUGCUUUCUCCUUCAUUUCUGAAGGAUGUUUUCACCAGAUACAGUAUUCACAGUUGACAGUUCUUUUUCUCAGUACUUGAAAGAUGCUGAGCCACUUCCUCUGGCCUCCAUCAUUUCAGAUGGGAAAUCCACUAUCAUUGCAAUUAAUUUUUCCCAUGUCAUAAAUGUGUUAUUUCUUUCUGACUGCUUUCAAUAUGUUUUUGUCUUUAGUUUAACUAUUUAAUUAUGAUGUGGAUUUCUUUACAUCUAGCCUGCUUGGAAUCCACUAAACUUCUUGAAUCUGUAGGUUUAUGUCUUUCUCCAAAUUUGAGAAGUUUUUAACCACUACUUCUUUGAAUACUUUUAGUCUCACUCUCUUCUCCUUUGGGACUCAGAAGGUAUGGCUGUUAGCUCUUUUCUUAUUGUCUCACAGGUCCCUGGGACUGUUAUUUCUUCCGUCUAUUUUUUUUUUUUUUUGAGACGGAGUCUCGCUCUGUCGCCCAGGUUGGACUGCAGCGGCGUGAUCUCGGCUCACUGCAAGCUCCGUCUUCCGGGUUCAUGCCA
This 1970-nucleotide long non-coding RNA is filed under the name Homo sapiens (human). RNAcentral describes it as "HSALNT0118059". Lineage: Eukaryota; Metazoa; Chordata; Mammalia; Primates; Hominidae. The record is from RNAcentral.